GAUAACUUCAAAAAGGCUUCGACUAUUUGCCCUGAGAGCGAUAUGGAAGCUCUGAAUAAUUUUACUGGAUCCACCCCAGAACAAUUAAGUGGCAAGUUAAAUAGACUGAAACAGAGAUUUGAUCAAGAAAGCAGAAGACAUGUUGAGUCCAUAGACGAUCUGAGGGCAUUGCAUGACAAAAUGGAGCAGAAAAUCUUCAGUAAGCAACAGCUGUAUGCAGGUUUUAGGGCGAACAUCAAUUCGUGUGAAAAAGCUUUGGACUUGUGGUGGAAGAAGUUCCAGAGAAAUGCUGGCCUUUUGAAGCGGCAAUUCACAUGGCUGUUCAAUGAGCACCUGAGAAAGAAAGGUAUCCGUGGAUUAACCUACAUAGAUUACCAGAGUAAAGUUUUAUCUAUUGAGCUAACGAUGCCUCAAGAUGCCUCCCAUGACACCGUCAGACACACUAGAGGACUGUCAGGGGGAGAGCGAUCUUUUUCGACACUUUGCUUCGCUUUAGCACUUCAUGGGAUGACAGAAGCACCUUUUAGGGCCAUGGAUGAGUUUGAUGUAUUCAUGGACGCAGUGAGCCGUAAAAUAAGCUUGGACACCCUUGUAGAUUUUGCUGUUGCACAAGGCUCACAAUGGAUAUUUAUAACACCGCAUGAUAUCAGGUCUGAAAAUCUCCUGUAG
Molecule: ribosomal RNA, 669 nt
Filed under: Triticum aestivum (bread wheat)
Lineage: Eukaryota; Viridiplantae; Streptophyta; Magnoliopsida; Poales; Poaceae
Description: partial small subunit ribosomal RNA
Source: RNAcentral